CAAUUACCAACAAUAACAUUAUUCAAGGAAAGGUUUACAAAAGACCGUCCAAAUGAAACGGUAUAUCCAAAGGAAGUAAGUUUAGAAACAGAUAUCAAGUUUCUUGAAAAUCCAGGUACAUAGAAGGUAUUUUCUAGGUACAAAAUAUGGCCAGUCUUUAAGGUCAAUUUGAACGUUCCAACAGCUUCCACAUGUGAACGCAUCUUAUUUCCCAUUAUGAUGCUUCGCUCACUUUCCGUUGGAAUUCUUUUGUUCAAUAAUCCCUG
RNAcentral lists this long non-coding RNA (266 nucleotides) under Phoenix dactylifera (date palm). Its description in RNAcentral is "long non-coding RNA (PDAC_LNC007083)". Lineage: Eukaryota; Viridiplantae; Streptophyta; Magnoliopsida; Arecales; Arecaceae. The record is from RNAcentral.